AAAUAAGAAACAAAAUAUUGUAUUUAGUUUCGACCUAAAAUUUUGAUGAUAAAUUUCAUCCUUAUUUA
This 68-nucleotide transfer RNA is filed under the name Hyalonthophagus alcyon. Its description in RNAcentral is "tRNA-Arg". The record is from RNAcentral. Lineage: Eukaryota; Metazoa; Arthropoda; Insecta; Coleoptera; Scarabaeidae.